Manacus vitellinus (golden-collared manakin) is the source of this 479-nucleotide long non-coding RNA. RefSeq lists it as uncharacterized. NCBI's taxonomy places the organism in Eukaryota, Metazoa, Chordata, Aves, Passeriformes, Pipridae. The transcript has 2 exons. The record is from RefSeq and is a predicted model, not a curated record.
UUUUUUUUUUUAAGGAUUUUGAUUUUUGUGAGAUAAACCUCAGUGCUGGGCGAGAGCAUUUGCUGUUGAUGUGGCCAACCUGGGAUCUGUGGAGAGCAAAGGACGAGUCCUUCAGCUCCAUCUGCCCUCAGAGGAUGCUCCUGCCUCCGUGGACACACUGUGAGGGCUCGGCAGAGCGAGUGUGCAAGUCCCUCAUCAUUCCAGAUCAUUUAUACGGGGGAGGGUGGAAGAAGGAGCCCUGUUUGACUGCAGAGCCAGGAUAUUGAGAGCUUGAAUUAUUAUAUUUUAUAAAAGAAAGUCUCAAAAGAACCCCCAGCCCGCCGUGGUGAGUCCUGCACCAAAGCGCCGCUGCCACUGCCCUGGGGAUGGAUGUCGUGGCUUUUUGUAAUAAUUUUUAAGACUCUGAGUGACUGAAUUGCUGUAUGUGUCACUUUUUAUUUUUGAAAGAAUUAAUGUAUAAAUAGAGUAUCUUAAAAUAU